RNAcentral lists this transfer RNA (79 nucleotides) under Rhopalaea idoneta. RNAcentral's name for it is "transfer RNA-His". Lineage: Eukaryota; Metazoa; Chordata; Ascidiacea; Aplousobranchia; Diazonidae. The record is from RNAcentral.
AUUAAGGUAGUUUAUUUGUGGUGUAUAAAAUGUAAAUUUGUGGUAUUUAAGAAGAGGUUUAUGUUAUAUUCUCUUAAUU